RNAcentral lists this ribosomal RNA (229 nucleotides) under uncultured bacterium. Its description in RNAcentral is "partial 16S ribosomal RNA". It matches the Rfam family "Bacterial small subunit ribosomal RNA", at positions 568 to 796 of the family's 1533-position model. The record is from RNAcentral.
UGCGUAGGCGGAAUAUUAAGUCAGUGGUGAUAUCCUGCGGCUCAACCGUAGAACUGCCAUUGAUACUGAUAUUCUUGAAUGUAGUUGAGGUAGGCGGAAUGUGUAAUGUAGCGGUGAAAUGCUUAGAUAUUACACAGAACACCGAUUGCGAAGGCAGCUUACUAAACUAUGAUUGACGCUGAGGCACGAAAGCGUGGGGAGCGAACAGGAUUAGAUACCCUGGUAGUCC